CAGCAGCCGCGGUAAUACGUAGGUCCCGAGCGUUGUCCGGAUUUAUUGGGCGUAAAGCGCGCGCAGGCGGCCUAUCCAGUCUGUCUUAAAAGUUCGGGGCUCAACCCCGUGAUGGGAUGGAAACUAGUAGGCUAGAGUAUCGGAGAGGAAAGCGGAAUUCCUAGUGUAGCGGUGAAAUGCGUAGAUAUUAGGAAGAACACCAGUGGCGAAGGCGGCUUUCUGGACGAAAACUGACGCUGAGGCGCGAAAGCCAGGGGAGCGAACGGGAUUAGAUACCCCAGUAGUCCCUGUCUCUUAUACA
This 301-nucleotide ribosomal RNA is filed under the name uncultured bacterium. Its description in RNAcentral is "partial 16S ribosomal RNA". It matches the Rfam family "Bacterial small subunit ribosomal RNA", at positions 509 to 809 of the family's 1533-position model. The record is from RNAcentral.